This is a non-coding RNA of Acinetobacter haemolyticus, 158 nucleotides long. Lineage: Bacteria; Pseudomonadati; Pseudomonadota; Gammaproteobacteria; Moraxellales; Moraxellaceae. The record is from Rfam.
CAUCGCUUCAGGGCGGGGUGAAAUUCCCCACCGGUGGUAAGUUGGGCAUUAAACAUGAAUGACCUAACCAGCCCACGAGCUGGUAUAUAUGUUUAUAUACUUGCAGAUUUGGUGAGAUGCCAAAGCCGACGGUAUAGUCCGGAUGAAAGAAGACGAAA